GACCUCAAAUCAGGCGAGAUCACCCGCUGAAUUUAAGCAUAUAACUAAGCGGAGGAAAAGAAACUAACCAGGAUUCCCUUAGUAACGGCGAGCGAAACGGGAAAAGCCCAGCGUGAAAAUCCGGGAGGCCUCCUCCCCGAAUUGUAGUCUGAAGAGGCGUUUUCAGUGACGAGCCGAGCAUAAGUCCCUUGGAAUAGGGUGUCAUAGAGGGUGAAAACCCCGUUUAUGGCUUGGAGAUCGUUGCAAUACGAUACGCUUUCAUAGAGUCGGGUUGUUUGGGAAUGCAGCCCUAAGUAGGUGGUAAACUUCAUCUAAGGCUAAAUAUUAGCGAGAGACCGAUAGCGCAGAAGUACCGUGAGGGAAAGAUGCAAAGUACUUUGAAAGGAGAGUGAAAUAGGACCUGAAACCGCUAAGGGGGAAGCGGAUGAAGUCAGUAUGCCAUUGUGCCUCCAGAGUCCUGGAAAGGGCUUGUAUCGGUGCGAUUGGCGAGUCAGCGCGGGUCUGGCGUCGGUAGUGGUGGUUGGGGAUUAGCCUUCCACAUAUCUAUUCGCGUCCAGUCCGAGGGAAUCCCCGCAAGGGUGAGGGCGCUGACGAAAUGGCUUUAUUCGACCCGUCUUGUAACACGGACCAAGGAGUCUAACAUGCAUGCGAGUGUUUGAGUGGAAAACUCGACGACGCGUAAUGAAAGUAAAGGUGCAUUUUGCACUGAGGUGUUUUCAACAUCGUCCGACCUGGAUCUUCUGUGAAGGGUUUGAGAGUGAGCAUGUAUGCUGGGACCCGAAAGAUGGUGAACUAUGCCUGAGUAGGGCGAAGCCAGGGGAAACUCUGGUGGAGGCUCGAAGCGAUGCUGACGUGCAAAUCGCUCGUCGAACUUGGGUAUAGGGGCGAAAGACUAAUCGAACCAUCUAGUAGCUGGUUCCCUCCGAAGUUUCCCUCAGGAUAGCGGGAGCAGAUACAGUUGUACCGGGUAAAGCGAAUGAUUAGAGGAUACGGGGAGGAAACCUCCUCGACCUAUUCUCAAACUUUAAAUAGGUACGGAGUAUGCGUUGCUUAAUUGAACGGAUACGGACAAUGACUGCUCUCUGUGGGCCAUUUUUGGUAAGCAGAACUGGCGAUGCGGGAUGAACCGAAAGCCGGGUUAAGGUGCCAAAGUGUACGCUCAUGAGAACCCAUAAAAGGUGUUGAUGCAUUAAGACAGCAGGACGGUGGCCAUGGAAGUCGGAAUCCGCUAAGGAGUGUGUAACAACUCACCUGCCGAAUGCAUUAGCCCUGAAAAUGGAUGGCGCUUAAGCGUGCGACCGAAACUCGGCCGACGUUGCAAUGGAUAGGCAGCGUCGUGUAGGAGGGCGUGGGGUUUGUUGUGCAGCCUUGGGCGCG
RNAcentral lists this ribosomal RNA (1377 nucleotides) under Rhodosorus marinus. RNAcentral describes it as "partial Eukaryotic large subunit ribosomal RNA". It matches the Rfam family "Eukaryotic large subunit ribosomal RNA", at positions 1 to 1419 of the family's 3401-position model. Lineage: Eukaryota; Rhodophyta; Stylonematophyceae; Stylonematales; Stylonemataceae. The record is from RNAcentral.